This 248-nucleotide ribosomal RNA is filed under the name uncultured Leptolyngbya sp. Its description in RNAcentral is "partial 16S ribosomal RNA". It matches the Rfam family "Bacterial small subunit ribosomal RNA", at positions 356 to 620 of the family's 1533-position model. Lineage: Bacteria; Bacillati; Cyanobacteriota; Cyanophyceae; Leptolyngbyales; Leptolyngbyaceae. The record is from RNAcentral.
GGGGAAUUUUCCGCAAUGGGCGCAAGCCUGACGGAGCAAGACCGCGUGCGGGAGGACGGCCUAUUGGUUGUAAACCGCUUUUGAUAGGGAAGAAGCUCUGACGGUACCUAUCGAAUCAGCAUCGGCUAACUCCGUGCCAGCAGCCGCGGACAUACGGAGGACGCAAGCGUUAUCCGGACUUAUUGGUCGUAAAGCGACCGUAGGUGGUUGCUCAAGUCUGCUCUUAAAGCGGCCGGCUUAACCGCAGA